GCGAAAAGAACCCCGGCGAGGGGAGUGAAAAAGAACCUGAAACCGUGUACGUACAAGCAGUAGGAGCCUCUUUAUGGGGUGACUGCGUACCUUUUGUAUAAUGGGUCAGCGACUUAUAUUCUGUAGCGAGGUUAACCGUAUAGGGGAGCCGUAGGGAAACCGAGUCUUAACUGGGCGAAUGAGUUGCAGGGUAUAGACCC
Molecule: ribosomal RNA, 200 nt
Filed under: Proteus mirabilis
Lineage: Bacteria; Pseudomonadati; Pseudomonadota; Gammaproteobacteria; Enterobacterales; Morganellaceae
Description: partial 23S ribosomal RNA
Rfam family: Bacterial large subunit ribosomal RNA
Source: RNAcentral